AUGAACGCUGGCGGCGUGCUUAACACAUGCAAGUCGCACGGUGAAGGCGGAGCUUGCUCUGCUGGAUCCGUGGCGAACGGGUGAGUAACACGUGAGCAAUCUGCCCCUGACUCUGGGAUAAGCGCUGGAAACGGCGUCUAAUACUGGAUACGAGCUGCGAAGGCAUCUUCAGCAGCUGGAAAGAACUUCGGUCAGGGAUGAGCUCGCGGCCUAUCAGCUUGUUGGUGAGGUAACGGCUCACCAAGGCGUCGACGGGUAGCCGGCCUGAGAGGGUGACCGGCCACACUGGGACUGAGACACGGCCCAGACUCCUACGGGAGGCAGCAGUGGGGAAUAUUGCACAAUGGGCGAAAGCCUGAUGCAGCAACGCCGCGUGAGGGACGACGGCCUUCGGGUUGUAAACCUCUUUUAGCAGGGAAGAAGCGAAAGUGACGGUACCUGCAGAAAAAGCGCCGGCUAACUACGUG
This 467-nucleotide ribosomal RNA is filed under the name uncultured bacterium. RNAcentral's name for it is "partial 16S ribosomal RNA". It matches the Rfam family "Bacterial small subunit ribosomal RNA", at positions 29 to 507 of the family's 1533-position model. The record is from RNAcentral.